This 304-nucleotide unclassified non-coding RNA is filed under the name uncultured fungus. RNAcentral describes it as "sequence contains ITS1". The stretch from base 1 to 103 matches the Rfam family "5.8S ribosomal RNA", at positions 50 to 154 of the family's 154-position model. The record is from RNAcentral. Lineage: Eukaryota; Fungi.
GAAAUGCGAUAGCUGGCGUGAAAUGCAGAAACCUGUGAACGUUGAAUUUUCGAACUCAAAUGGAGCAGAUGGUAAUACCGUCUGCACGUUCUUAUGACUGCUGGAUAGUUACCAAAGCUAAAUGCUCUGCACUGGCUGUUCUGUUGGCGUUUGUCGAUGGGCGGCUGAAUAAAGUGUAUCAGUCGAACCGUCCUGAAUGUAACAUUCAGCGUCUCUGGUGAAUUCUUGAGGCUUGAGUGUUGCUGAAGGCGGCCGGCGUUAUCCUAUCAGCGUCAUAUAGAGCGAGGCUACCCGCUGAAUUUAA